RNAcentral lists this ribosomal RNA (253 nucleotides) under uncultured bacterium. RNAcentral's name for it is "partial 16S ribosomal RNA". It matches the Rfam family "Bacterial small subunit ribosomal RNA", at positions 524 to 776 of the family's 1533-position model. The record is from RNAcentral.
UACGUAGGCAGCAAGCGUUGUUCGGAAUUACUGGGCGUAAAGAGUGUGUAGGCGGUGUUCUAAGUCUGUUGUGAAAUCUCCCGGCUUAACUGGGAGGGUGCGGCGGAAACUGGAAUGCUAGAGGAUGGGAGAGGUAAGCGGAAUUCCUGGUGUAGCGGUGAAAUGCGUAGAUAUCAGGAGGAACACCAAUGGCGAAGGCAGCUCGCUGGGACGGUACUGACGCUGAGGCGCGAAAGCGUGGGGAGCAAACAGG